UACGUAGGGUGCAAGCGUUAAUCGGAAUUACUGGGCGCAAAGCGUGCGCAGGCGGCUUUGCAAGACAGAUGUGAAAUCCCCGGGCUUAACCUGGGAACUGCAUUUGUGACUGCACGGCUGGAGUGCGGCAGAGGGGGAUGGAAUUCCGCGUGUAGCAGUGAAAUGCGUAGAUAUGCGGAGGAACACCGAUGGCGAAGGCAAUCCCCUGGGCCUGCACUGACGCUCAUGCACGAAAGCGUGGGGAGCAAACAGG
Molecule: ribosomal RNA, 253 nt
Filed under: uncultured bacterium
Lineage: Bacteria
Description: partial 16S ribosomal RNA
Rfam family: Bacterial small subunit ribosomal RNA
Source: RNAcentral